Molecule: ribosomal RNA, 518 nt
Filed under: uncultured bacterium
Lineage: Bacteria
Description: bacterial SSU rRNA
Rfam family: Bacterial small subunit ribosomal RNA
Source: RNAcentral
AGGGUUCGAUUCUGGCUCAGGAUGAACGCUAGCUACAGGCUAACACAUGCAAGUCGAGGGGCAGCAUAAGCUUAGCUGCAAGUUGAUGGCGACCGGCGCACGGGUGAGUAACGCGUAUCCAACCUGGCCCACAGUAGGGGAUAGCCCGGCGAAAGUCGGAUUAAUACCCUAUGUUAUCCGUUGAGGACAUCUGAGAUGGAUCAAAGAUUUAUCGCUAUGGGAUGGGGAUGCGUCUGAUUAGCUUGCCGGCGGGGUAACGGCCCACCGGGGCUUCGAUCAGUAGGGGUUCUGAGAGGAAGGUCCCCCACAUUGGAACUGAGACACGGUCCAAACUCCUACGGGAGGCAGCAGUGAGGAAUAUUGGUCAAUGGGCGCGAGCCUGAACCAGCCAAGUAAGCGUGCAGGAUGACGGCCCUAUGGGUUGUAAACUGCUUUUGCCGGGGAAUAAAGUUCACUACGCGUAGUGUUUUGUAUGUACCCGGAGAAUAAGGACCGGCUAAUUCCGUGCCAGCCGCGGC